UACAGAGGGUGCGAGCGUUGUUCGGAAUUAUUGGGCGUAAAGGGCGCGUAGGCGGUGCGGUAAGUCACCUGUGAAAUCUCCUGGCUCAACUGGGAGCUUGCAGGCGAAACUGCCGUGCUGGAGUGUGGGAGAGGUGCGUGGAAUUCCCGGUGUAGCGGUGAAAUGCGUAGAUAUCAGGAGGAACACCGGUGGCGAAGGCGGAUCUCUGGGCCUUACCUGACGCUGAGGCGCGAAAGCUAGGGGAGCGAACAGG
RNAcentral lists this ribosomal RNA (253 nucleotides) under uncultured bacterium. Its description in RNAcentral is "partial 16S ribosomal RNA". It matches the Rfam family "Bacterial small subunit ribosomal RNA", at positions 524 to 776 of the family's 1533-position model. The record is from RNAcentral.